UUUAAAAUUGAACGUAGUGUAUCAGUUGUGGUCGUUGCUGUUUCACUUGAUAGUGCCUGUCUUUUCCAUGGUCAUAUGGUCGGUGAUACGUGAGUGAUGCGCGUCGCUGCGAGAAGGUGAAGACUGGGCGAGUUCCUGGAGUUGAGCAAGGUCCAGUGAAUUUUGCGCAGAGGGAAGCCUGAAUAUUUUUGUCUUUAUUAGAUAAAAUAUAUUUUUUGUAGAAGACGGUGUAACCGAUAUUUGGACUGCAAAGGGGAAGAGAUAAGAUGGAAAGAGAAAAGAAAAAGAGAUCAUUGAUGCGUGUCCCCUGCUCCUGCACCGACAAAUAUUGACUGAAAAAAUCAUCAAAAGACCAUCGCCGAACUUAAGGCAACAAAAGGACUGAGGACAGGAUAGUACACACUCUGAAGGAUAUAUAAAAUAAUAUUUAUCGCUGUUCCCAGGGUCAUAAAAUGGCCGAGUCUUUUAACCAUAACCUUCAUUUUAGCGGGUCAGUGUCUCCAAAUCAAGUCGCGUCAUGUCAAGAUUUGAUGAUAAGCCAGUAUAUACGAGAUGGGCAUUAUGUCUAAUCUUGUUUUAAGUUAAUGUCUAUUGCGGCUACUUUAAGAGAACGACUUUCCAGAGAUGAGGCUGAAAACAGAGUACAUCAAUGAUGAUGAUAGAUGCUAGGAUGUCGGUUGUUCCCCAAGCACUGCAGGCUUCUGACUUAGUGUACUUUCCGAGAUCCUUACUUCAGUGAACUCGAUUCUUCUAAGGAGUGCUUCGCCAUUGACUGUCUAUGCUAGAAUUUCUUUCCCUGGGUUUUCUUCGUAUUGCGCGUUAUCCGUCCACUGAGCAGUUGCUUUGCAUUAAAAAGUGAUACAUGUGGCUGUUUCUUUUUCCAUAUUGAAUAUGCUAAAAAUUUAAUAUACCCAUGUUAUUCUGAGUUUUUGAGUUGCAACGGGUAUAUAAUCCUAUCACAACUCUGAUUUUAGCCCUCUCCUACUAUAGCAGUGAGUUUGCCAGACUUUUGAGGAUGUUUUAUGUUAGCUUAAUGUUUCUAUCUCUAUGUUUGUAUUUUUUAUCCCAAGAAUUGUUUCAGAACCUCUGGCCAGUGUGUCUGCCUUUUCGAUUUUCUGACAUUUCCUUGUUUCCUUGCAGCCAAAGUAUAAUACUCAAUUUAGUUAUAUCGACAACUUAUUUGUAGACAUCA
Cimex lectularius (bed bug) is the source of this 1192-nucleotide long non-coding RNA. RefSeq lists it as uncharacterized. The transcript is spliced from 6 exons. The record is from RefSeq and is a predicted model, not a curated record. Lineage: Eukaryota; Metazoa; Arthropoda; Insecta; Hemiptera; Cimicidae.